This 254-nucleotide ribosomal RNA is filed under the name uncultured bacterium. RNAcentral's name for it is "partial 16S ribosomal RNA". It matches the Rfam family "Bacterial small subunit ribosomal RNA", at positions 524 to 777 of the family's 1533-position model. The record is from RNAcentral.
UACGUAGGGUGCAAGCGUUGUCCGGAAUUAUUGGGCGUAAAGAGCUCGUAGGCGGUUUGGCAAGUCGGGUGUGAAAACUCCGGCUCAACUCGGAGACGCCACUCGAUACUGCCAUGACUCGAGUCCGGUAGGGGAGUGCGGAAUUCCUGGUGUAGCGGUGAAAUGCGUAGAUAUCUGGAGGAAUACCGGUGGCGAAGGCGGCAUCCUGGACCGGCAUUGACGCUGAUGAGCGAAAGCUAGGGGAGCAAACGGGG